CCUACGGGAGGCAGCAGUGGGGAAUCUUGCGCAAUGGGCGAAAGCCUGACGCAGCAACGCCGCGUGGGGGAUGAAGGCUCUCGGGUUGUAAACCCCUUUCAGCAGGGACGAAUUAAGACGGUACCUGCAGAAGAAGCCCCGGCUAACUACGUGCCAGCAGCCGCGGUAACACGUAGGGGGCAAGCGUUGUCCGGAUUUAUUGGGCGUAAAGAGCUCGUAGGUGGCUGAGUAAGUCGGAUGUUAAAUCCCCAGGCUCAACCUGGGACACCACCCGAUACUGCUCUGGCUAGAGUCCGGUAGGGGAGCGUGGAAUUCCUGGUGUAGCGGUGAAAUGCGCAGAUAUCAGGAGGAACACCAGCGGCGAAGGCGGCGCUCUGGGCCGGUACUGACACUGAGGAGCGAAAGCGUGGGUAGCAAACAGGAUUAGAUACCCUGGUAGUCCACGCCGUAAACGUUGGGCACUAGGUGUGGGGUCUAUUCAACGGACUCCGUGCCGUAGCUAACGCAUUAAGUGCCCCGCCUGGGGAGUACGGCCGCAAGGCUAAAACUCAAAUGAAUUGACGGCUGAGACGNGCGAGCGACACGAGGAGAG
This 592-nucleotide ribosomal RNA is filed under the name uncultured bacterium. RNAcentral's name for it is "bacterial SSU rRNA". It matches the Rfam family "Bacterial small subunit ribosomal RNA", at positions 338 to 943 of the family's 1533-position model. The record is from RNAcentral.